This 2330-nucleotide long non-coding RNA is filed under the name Ananas comosus (pineapple). RNAcentral describes it as "long non-coding RNA (ACOM_LNC011650)". Lineage: Eukaryota; Viridiplantae; Streptophyta; Magnoliopsida; Poales; Bromeliaceae. The record is from RNAcentral.
CUUUCCCAAGAUACCGGUCCCUUUAAUAUAAUUCCAAUCAUAUACUAAUAAUAUCAUUCAUUCAAAACUUUAAUAAUAAAUCACAGUCGUACAAUUUUAUUUAUUUUUAAAUUAUCAUAAAAUAUAUUAAUUCUUAGUCAUAGAUCUAAUCAAUGACUGGAAAGAAUUAAGUAUCUGUCACUUUUUUUACCUAAAUUGCCCUCAAAUAGUACGUAUCAAAUUUUACUUUUUAUAUGCAUGUCAUAUCUUCUAAUAACCGCCGCCCACAUAAUAUCAUAUUUUAUAACAAAUAAUAUUCGCAUUUCUAAAUAUUUUAUUUCUCACACAAAAUAUCCGCCACCUAUAUAAUAUCCAAUCACAUAAUACCUUCCGCAUAUAUAAUAUUUAAUCAUAUUUUUUAAAAGAUGAAUAUACAAAAAUUAUCUCAAUUUUACCUAUUAAUAUUUGAAAUAUGAGAUAUUUUUUCAAUAAAAUAUAACAUAUAAAUUUACAAUUUUAAAUUUUAAAGUUGUAGAUAAAUAUAACUCACAAUUGAUAUAAACAGUAUUUCAAAUUGAAAAUAAUUAAUUAAUUUGAAAAUAUAUCAAUUUUGAAAAAUAGAUGGGAUGAUAAAUAAAUUAAUGUCUUUAAUAAUUAUUUAUAUUGAAAUUAAGGAUUCAAAAUUAAUUUCAAAAUUUAAGUUUUAUUCAUAAAUUUAAAUCUGAAUUUAUUAAUUUAAAAUUUAGAAUUACUUCAAAUUUUUAAAAUUUGGAUACACAUUAAAAAAAAUUAAUGUUAGAAAAAAACUAACUGAUAAAUAAAUUUAUACCACCAAUAAUUACUUAAAUUUAAAAUACUAAUAUAAAUUUAAUUUAAUUAAAUGUUACGUGCAUUGCACGUACACUAUAACUAGUAUAUAUAUAAAAGCACGUAUUUUAAAUUUCGGUCUGUCGACAGACCCAUUUUUUGGCGGAAAAAAAAAAUUGAUUCCUCUUUCCUUACGUAAAAUAAAUAAAGUAAUGAAACAAACUUUUAAUUUCUCUUUAUCUCUAAAAUAGAAAUAAAUUCAUACUUAUCUAAAUUUUUGCCAGAAUAUCAAUCUGUUAAAAAAUAGUAUUUCUAUCUAUCUAUUUUAUAAUAAAAUUUAAAUUUGUGUUUAAAUCGUGAAUUAAAUUUAAUUUUUAAUUUUUGAUUUCAAAUCUAUCCAUCUAUUUUAUACUAAAAUUUAAAUUUGAUAUCGUAGAUAUUUUCUAAUAAAAUAUAAUAUAUAAAUUUACAAAUAUUUUAUUCUAAAUUUUUUUAAAAAAAUAUGAUUUACAAAUUUUUAUUAAUUUAAAAUAAAUUAAAAUAAUUGNAUAUAUAUAUAUAUAUAUAUAUAUAUAUAGAAAGAUAUGGUCGAAACUCGAGUUACUUGAAACAGCCUAAUUGUCUUCGGCCCAACUUGCAUCAAAUCAAUUAUGGUAAAAAAAAGUGAAAAAAUAAUAAAAUAAUAUAAUGGAUAAUGCCAAUUAUAUUUGAAUAUAUUUACUUAUGGUACUAAUUAUUUUUUAUUUAGUUUGCAUAUUUAAAUAUGAUAAAAAUUGAUUCUUUAAGUUUUAGUAUUUUCUUCAUUUUAGUUUAUACAUUUAAAAUGUGAUGAAAAUUGAUUAUUUAAAUAUUAAUAUUUUUACUUUAUAAUUUUAUUAUUGUAUUGUUAUAAUUUAUGUAUAAAAAAACAAUUUAGCAGUUUUAGAUUAAUUUUUAAUUAUAUAAAAAUAUACUUAUAUUAUACUUUAUUAUUUAUAUAUAAAAUAAGUUUUAUGUUAUUCGCUUCUAGCCAAACAAAUAGCAAAGCUGAAUAAACUUUACUUCUAUAAUUAUGAAACAAUCAACGAGGGAAAAAUAAUUUUCACCUGUACUCCGCUUCAACCUGAAGUUCACUUCAAUGCAAAGUUCAAUUUCUAUAAAAGUCUAAAGUUUGUUAUAAGAUGUUUGAAAGCUAAAGUUCCUUAUAAGAUGUUUGUAGGUUUCUUGAUCUAAAGGACAGAAUAGAGGGAUAUAUAAUGUGAACUUGAAUUAAAUAAGAAAAAAAUAAUUCUAUAAAAAAAAAUUAGUAGCUCUACAACGUGAAUUUAAAUGAAAUAGGAGGAAAUUAUUUCUCCAAAAACAUAACAAGUCAAUGACGUAGGAUUGAAUUAAAUGAGAGAAAAUCAAUUAUACUAGGAGUCUGACAUACCAUGUUAAAUUAUGUGAAUCAAUUAUACUAGUAAAGAACGAUAUUUUUAUAAUUUUAUAUUUCUACAGUUUAUUUGAUUUUUAUCUGUUAAUUUUUAUCCGCUAAUUUUUACUACUAAUAAUCUUUAAAAACUAUU